This 148-nucleotide unclassified non-coding RNA is filed under the name uncultured Mortierella. RNAcentral's name for it is "sequence contains ITS1". Lineage: Eukaryota; Fungi; Mortierellomycota; Mortierellomycetes; Mortierellales; Mortierellaceae. The record is from RNAcentral.
UAAUAAGUGUUUUAUGGCACUUUUUAAAUCCAUAUCCACCUUGUGUGCAAUGUCAGUCGAUCUUCUUCAUGGAGAUCGACCAAACAUCAACCUUUAUUUUUUAACUCUUUGUCUGAUAACAUAUUAUGAAUAUACUUAAUUCAAAAUA